GAUGAACGCUGGCGGCGUGCCUAAUACAUGCAAGUCGAACGAAAGGACGCGACGCUUGCUUUUCUGUUGUUAGCGGAGCACGGGUGAGUAACACGUGGAUCACCUCCCUAUCAGACUGGUAUCACUUCGAGAAUCCGGCGCUAAUCCCGGAUAAUAUUUUGAACCGCAUGGUUCAAAAGUGAAAGACGGUCUUGCUGUAACUUAUAGAUGGAUCCGGGCUGCUUUAGGUGGUUGGUAAGGUAACGGCUUACCAAGGCAACUAUGCCUAGACGACCUGCCAGGGUGAUCGGCCACCCUGGAACGUAGACGGGGUCCAGGCGCCUACGGGAGGGAGCAGUAGGGUAUCGUCCGCAGUAGUGGAGAGCCUUGCGGAGCAACGGCGCGUGAGUGAUGAAGGUCUUGGGUGCGUAAAACUCUGUUAUUAGGUAAGAACAUAUGUGUAAGGAACUGUGGACAGCGUGACGGUACCUAGUCAGAAAGCCACGGCUAACUACGUG
RNAcentral lists this ribosomal RNA (497 nucleotides) under uncultured bacterium. RNAcentral's name for it is "partial 16S ribosomal RNA". It matches the Rfam family "Bacterial small subunit ribosomal RNA", at positions 28 to 507 of the family's 1533-position model. The record is from RNAcentral.